CAUGUUCCCCAUGGAGGAUUCAGGGCCUAGGACAGUGCCUGGUGUACAUCAGACAUUCAGUGAGAAGAUGGAAGCUCAUGGACUGUCCUCUUUAUGUCCCUGAAGAGUGAGCAGAAGAUGGAGCCAGAGGGUGUCUGCACCCCAGAAGGGACAGAGGAAUGGCCACAUGAGCUCACAGCAAGAAGGCACGGUCCAGCCAAGGAGAGAGUUCUCUCCAGAAACCAAACUUGCUUACACCUUGACCAUGGAUUUCAAGCAUGCAGAAGUGUGGGAAAAUAAACAUCUGUUGCUUUAGCCACCCAGCCUGCAGUAUGUUGAGACACCUGAGUUGACAAAGACAGGACCUCAGCACCUGACUAUGUCCUUGCCCCAGGAAGGGACAGAAGAGAGCAGUGCGGCGGUAGGCGG
Long non-coding RNA from Suricata suricatta (meerkat), 408 nucleotides. RefSeq lists it as uncharacterized. The record is from RefSeq and is a predicted model, not a curated record. Lineage: Eukaryota; Metazoa; Chordata; Mammalia; Carnivora; Herpestidae. The transcript has 3 exons.